AAAGAUUAAGCCAUGCAUGUCUAAGUAUAAGCAAUUAUACCGCGAAACUGCGAAUGGCUCAUUAUAUAAGUUAUCGUUUAUUUGAUAAUACUUUACUACUUGGAUAACCGUGGUAAUUCUAGAGCUAAUACAUGCUAAAAAUCCCGACUUCGGAAGGGUUGUAUUUAUUAGAUUAAAAACCAAUGCCCCUCGGGGCUCUCUGGUGAAUCAUGAUAACUAGUCGAAUCGACAGGCCUUGUGCCGGCGAUGGCUCAUUCAAAUUUCUUCCCUAUCAACUUUCGAUGUUUGGGUCUUGUCCAAACAUGGUGGCAACGGGUAACGGAGGGUUAGGGCUCGACCCCGGAGAAGGAGCCUGAGAAACGGCUACUACAUCCAAGGAAGGCAGCAGGCGCGCAAAUUACCCAAUCCCGACACGGGGAGGUAGUGACAAUAAAUACUGAUACAGGGCUCUUUUGGGUCUUGUAAUCGGAAUGAGUACAAUUUAAAUCCCUUAACGAGGAACAAUUGGAGGGCAAGUCUGGUGCCAGCAGCCGCGGUAAUUCCAGCUCCAAUAGCGUAUAUUAAAGUUGUUGUGGUUAAAAAGCUCGUAGUUGAACCUUGGGCCUGGCUGGCCGGUCCGCCUCACCGCGUGCACUGGUCCGGCCGGGCCUUUCCCUCUGCGGAACCCCAUGCCCUUCACUGGGUGUGGCGGGGAAACAGGACUUUUACUUUGAAAAAAUUAGAGUGCUCAAGGCAGGCCUAUGCUCGAAUACAUUAGCAUGGAAUAAUAGAAUAGGACGUGUGGUUCUAUUUUGUUGGUUUCUAGGACCGCCGUAAUGAUUAAUAGGGACAGUCGGGGGCAUCAGUAUUCAAUUGUCAGAGGUGAAAUUCUUGGAUUUAUUGAAGACUAACUACUGCGAAAGCAUUUGCCAAGGAUGUUUUCAUUAAUCAGGAACGAAAGUUAGGGGAUCGAAGACGAUCAGAUACCGUCGUAGUCUUAACCAUAAACUAUGCCGACUAGGGAUCGGACGAUGUUACAUUUUUGACGCGUUCGGCACCUUACGAGAAAUCAAAGUGCUUGGGCUCCAGGGGGAGUAUGGUCGCAAGGCUGAAA
This 1093-nucleotide ribosomal RNA is filed under the name Trichoderma sulphureum. RNAcentral describes it as "SSU rRNA". It matches the Rfam family "Eukaryotic small subunit ribosomal RNA", at positions 39 to 1142 of the family's 1831-position model. Lineage: Eukaryota; Fungi; Ascomycota; Sordariomycetes; Hypocreales; Hypocreaceae. The record is from RNAcentral.